This 474-nucleotide ribosomal RNA is filed under the name uncultured bacterium. RNAcentral describes it as "bacterial SSU rRNA". It matches the Rfam family "Bacterial small subunit ribosomal RNA", at positions 33 to 507 of the family's 1533-position model. The record is from RNAcentral.
GACGACGCUGGCGGCGUGCCUAACACAUGCAAGUCGAGCGGGGUUGAAGCGAGGGGUAACUCGAGUUUCUACCUAGCGGCGGACGGGUGAGUAACGCGUGGGCAACCUGCCUCAAGGUUUGGGAUAACAGCCCGAAAGGGCUGCUAAUACCGGAUAUGCCUAUGGCCUCGCAUGGGGCUAUGAGCAAAGGGGAAACCCGCCUUGAGAUGGGCCCGCGUCCCAUCAGCUAGUUGGUGAGGUAACAGCUCACCAAGGCGACGACGGGUAGCCGGCCUGAGAGGGUGACCGGCCACACUGGGACUGAGACACGGCCCAGACUCCUACGGGGGGCAGCAGUGGGGGAUCUUGCACAAUGGGCGAAAGCCUGAUGCAGCGACGCCGCGUGAGCGAAGAAGGCCUUCGGGUUGUAAAGCUCUGUCUGGAGGGACGAACAAAAUGACGGUACCUCCGGAGGAAGCCACGGCUAACUACGUG